Molecule: ribosomal RNA, 497 nt
Filed under: uncultured bacterium
Lineage: Bacteria
Description: partial 16S ribosomal RNA
Rfam family: Bacterial small subunit ribosomal RNA
Source: RNAcentral
GUUGAACGCUGGCGGCGUGCCUAAUACAUGCAAGUCGAGCGAAUGGACGAGACUUUCGCCUCUCUGCUGCUAGCGACGGAUGGGUGAGUCAUACGUAGCUACCUUACAUAUAAGAAUGGCAUAACUUCGGGAAACCGGAUCUCACAUAGGAUCAUAUUUUGAACCGCAUGGUUCUUCAGUCCACGCCGUUUUUGCUGAGCCUAAUUCAUGGUACCUCGUUGCAUUAGCUAGUUGGUAAGGUAACGGCUUACCAAGGCAACGAUGAGUAGCCGACCUGAGAGGAUGAUCAGCCACACUGGAACUGAGACACGGUCCAGACUCCUACGGGAGGCAGCAGUAGGGAAUAUUCCACAAUGGGCGAAAGCCUGACGGAGCAACGCCGCGUGAGUGAUGAAGGUCUUCGGAUCGUAAAGCUCUGUUAGUAGGGAAGAAGAUAUGUAAAAGUAACUGUGCACGUCUUGACGUUACCUAAACAGAAAGCCACGGCUAACUACGUG